RNAcentral lists this long non-coding RNA (341 nucleotides) under Pandoravirus dulcis. Its description in RNAcentral is "putative ncRNA". The record is from RNAcentral.
ACCCCGUCGGUGCGUAUCCACCGGCGCUGAGGCGCCGCGGGCCUGCGCCGCGUCAGCGCAUAGAUCACGCCGCCGAUGGCGACAAUAGCCAGCACCACGCCCGCCACGAUGAGCCACGUGCGAUGCCCGCGGGGCGCCGCGCUCUCGGCCAACAGUUGGCUCUGGAUCUGGGCGUUGAGCGCCUCCUGUGCGGUCGCCAUCGUUGUUGGUCUCGCCUGUAGCCUCCUUGUCAGCGCAGACGAUUCACAGAGAUCACGUUGGUCCUCUGUCUUUUGAGGCGGCCAGCGAUUUUAUCGGUUUCUUUUUUUUGUUUCUUUCUUUGUCGGUCGUGUCUGUGCGGC